RNAcentral lists this ribosomal RNA (247 nucleotides) under uncultured bacterium. RNAcentral describes it as "partial 16S ribosomal RNA". It matches the Rfam family "Bacterial small subunit ribosomal RNA", at positions 524 to 770 of the family's 1533-position model. The record is from RNAcentral.
UACGAAGGGGGCUAGCGUUGCUCGGAAUCACUGGGCGUAAAGCGCACGUAGGCGGACUCUUAAGUCGGGGGUGAAAUCCUGGAGCUCAACUCCAGAACUGCCUUCGAUACUGGCGAUCUUGAGUCCGGAAGAGGUGAGUGGAAUUCCUAGUGUAGAGGUGGAAUUCGUAGAUAUUAGGAAGAACACCAGUGGCGAAGGCGGCUCACUGGUCCGGUACUGACGCUGAGGUGCGAAAGCGUGGGGAGCA